UAGACAAAGCGAUUCGACGGGGGCAAGCUGCUCUCUUUACGCCUUCACGGUCGCUCUGCUUCGGAUCCGUUCGUCGCUCUCUCUCGCGCAUCGAGAAACAGUAGCUUCUUGCUGCAACAACUGAGGCUUGGGAUCAUAGUCCAUAAAGGUUUAGUGUAGGACGACCAUUGGAGCAAUAGUAUAGGAUGACCAUCCUCUGUUCAAGAAGAUUGUCAAGUCUCAGUUUUCCUUAUUGCAGAUAUCUUGUUGCUUGCAUCGUACUGUAAUUCCAUGCCAUGACGAGAGGAUUUUAUAGUAGUAGACAGCUGAGGUUGGGUUGUUCAAACUACUUUCAAAUAUAUUGACGCCAAAUAAUAUGUGAUUGCUUCAGACAGAUAUGUCAAAUAUCAUAGUGGUACUCGUCAAAUUGACAGUUUCAGUGCGAUAAAGUAACAAAUUGUGAAACUUAGGCAGUGUCAGUUUCAAUAUUUUUUAUUCAAUCACUUUGAUAUUCAUCAACUCAAUUGAAGUGGAUGGUUAUGCGAGCCCACCAGAAACCAUAAUCAUUUACAAAUGCUUGGCACGCAACUCAAUCAAAAUUUUUUUUUUGGCCGUUGGAUAUCUGAUUCUUAUUCUCUAGAUGGGAGUGGUUCUGGUUCCACCUGCCACACCAUUUCUUUUGUUCAGGAUUCUGCUAGAUAAAAUAGAGAGGUUAAUAGAUGAGUUUUGUGAACAUUCAUUUUAUGGCAAUAUUUCUGAUAUUAUUCCAGCAGUAUGUUUUAAUUUUUGCUAAGUUGGUGUUUCAUAAUCUCUCGAAUAUUCAUUUAAUUCUUGCAUAUUAUUCUUGUGUUGACUUGACCCUUAUAUAAUAAAUCAGUCCUUUCUGCCAUUUUUUGGUACUUCUAUGUUGAGAAUUCCUCGUGAUCGUGCUGCCUUGAGUAAUCCACCACAUUUCAACUGCUUCUCUUGUGAUGUGGGCAUAACUAAUUGAGUUACAAAUUCUCAAUUUAGCACGAUAAUCACUACAUUACACAAUCAGCAUGCUGUUCCAAUGGUCUUAGGUUUUAAUAACUAGCACAAUCAUACACCUUAUCAAGUGGAAAGUACAGAUGCUUCUAUGCAUUGUUGCAUUAGAGAUGAUCCACGUAAAAUCUAGCUAUGCCUUGUUUGCUCGUUAACCCAUCCAUUUAGUGCAGUCGAAGUCUGCUGCAAAUUGAAUACAAAAUUGUAUCUUUAGACUGCAGACUCGAAUACAUUGUUUUGUAACUUACAAAAUAAAAUUACCUUAGAUUUGGAGGACCUAUACUUUGGUUCUCAUCUGCUUCCGGCUGUGGCUGGCAUAAUUGAAGAUGAAUGGGCACGUUUGCUUCACCUGUUAUGUUGAAAUUAUAUGGAAUAGUUGAACUUCUAUCAAUAUCAUUCAUUCCCCAUGUCGCAUUAACCUGAUAUUGAUCAUUGAAUAUUUAUGUUAAAUACAAUUAAUAACUUGUAAACUAACAAAUUGCAAACGCAUAUAUAUUAUUUUGAUUUACAAUGGUGUGAAUUUGUAACUGGUACCUUCUUUUGCAGUUCAAUAUUUUCUUGGCGAUAAAAGUUUACCUUCUUGUAUAGUUCCAUAUUAUCCUGCUGAAGAAGCUUUCCCUGCAAUAACCAGUAUUUUGGUGAAUCAGAUCUAGAUUUGUAAAUUUACUGAUAUGUAGUGAAAUAUCCUACAACCUUGCGAUCCAAUUCUUGAAUUUCUUCUAUCAAAAGGUGUUCCUGCAAAUUAGUAGCACAUUUAAAAUAGUUGAUACCAAAAGGGAAGAAAAUAUAACUGAAUGAAACCUAGGAAGAUAGGACCUUUUUCAUUCUGACUCUAUGCACGCUUGUUUCUAGUUGGGUCUCCAGAUUCUGUAGAUCUUUGGCACUUAAGCCAGACAGCUCCUGCCCCAUCAGCUGCCUGCAAUUGUUAUGCAAUUGCUGCCUCAAGCUGGCUGCUUUCUUUUGCCAGACCUGGUGAACAGGGAAAUUAACGGACUUGCAUAGACUGAUGGGGAGCUGACUGUUGCACUGCCACCCAUGCAAACUCUAUGAACUUACCCAAACUGAAUCUGAGUCUGCCAGUGGAUAGGUAAUUCGGGCCAAACAUUUUUUUAUUGUGAAAAUUAUUAUGUUUGGAUUCCUUAUAGCAUUACGUUUUUAUAAAAUAGUGGAUACAUAUUUUUAUUUAUUCU
Molecule: long non-coding RNA, 2192 nt
Organism: Zingiber officinale
Lineage: Eukaryota; Viridiplantae; Streptophyta; Magnoliopsida; Zingiberales; Zingiberaceae
Exons: 4
Source: RefSeq, a predicted model, not a curated record